RNAcentral lists this small nuclear RNA (212 nucleotides) under Eptatretus burgeri (inshore hagfish). RNAcentral describes it as "U2 spliceosomal RNA (ENSEBUG00000000199.1)". It matches the Rfam family "U2 spliceosomal RNA". Rfam says of the family: U2 is a small nuclear RNA (snRNA) component of the spliceosome (involved in pre-mRNA splicing). Complementary binding between U2 snRNA (in an area lying towards the 5' end but 3' to hairpin I) and the branchpoint sequence (BPS) of the intron results the bulging out of an unpaired adenosine, on the BPS, which initiates a nucleophilic attack at the intronic 5' splice site, thus starting the first of two transesterification reactions that mediate splicing. The record is from Rfam by way of RNAcentral. Lineage: Eukaryota; Metazoa; Chordata; Myxini; Myxiniformes; Myxinidae.
AUCGCUUCUCGGCCUCUCAAGGCUAAGAUCAAGUGUAGUAUCUGUUCUUAUUGGUUUAAUAACCAAUAUGUCUCACAUCGCCAAUAUGUCUCACAUCGUGGGACUUAUCUAUUAAACAUAUUUUUGUUUGGAGGAGUCAGAUUACGAGCUUGCUCUGUCUGUUCCACGCAUUGUCCUGGUAUUGCAUUAUCUCCAGGAUCAGUGCAGGGGGG